CCGCACGCGCGCUACACUGACAGAGCCAACGAGUUUCUUCCUUGUCCGAAAGGUCUGGGUAAUCUUGUUAAACUCUGUCGUGCUGGGGAUAGAGCAUUGCAAUUAUUGCUCUUCAACGAGGAAUUCCUAGUAAGUCAUCAGCUUGCGCUGAUUACGU
RNAcentral lists this ribosomal RNA (157 nucleotides) under uncultured eukaryote. Its description in RNAcentral is "partial 18S ribosomal RNA". It matches the Rfam family "Eukaryotic small subunit ribosomal RNA", at positions 1487 to 1650 of the family's 1831-position model. The record is from RNAcentral.